This 73-nucleotide transfer RNA is filed under the name Felis catus (domestic cat). It matches the Rfam family "tRNA". Rfam says of the family: Transfer RNA (tRNA) molecules are approximately 80 nucleotides in length. The record is from Rfam by way of RNAcentral. Lineage: Eukaryota; Metazoa; Chordata; Mammalia; Carnivora; Felidae.
ACCUGACUGGCUCAGUCAGUAGAGUGUGAGACUCGUGAUCUCAGAGUCGUGAGUUCAAGCCCCACACUGGGUG